CAGCCGCCACGGGAAUACGGAGGGUGCAAGCGUUAAUCGGAAUUACUGGGCGUAAAGCGUGCGCAGGCGGUUUGUAAGACAGGUGUGAAAUCCCCGGGCUUAACCUGGGAACUGCGCCUGUGACUGCACAGCUAGAGUAUGGCAGAGGGGGGUGGAAUUCCCGGUGUAGCGGUGAAAUGCGUAGAGAUCGGGAGGAACACCGAUGGCGAAGGCAGCCCCCUGGGCCAACACUGACGCUCAUGCACGAAAGCGUGGGGAGCAAACAGGAUUAGAUACCCGCGUAGUCCCUGUCUCUUAUACA
This 301-nucleotide ribosomal RNA is filed under the name uncultured bacterium. RNAcentral's name for it is "partial 16S ribosomal RNA". It matches the Rfam family "Bacterial small subunit ribosomal RNA", at positions 509 to 808 of the family's 1533-position model. The record is from RNAcentral.